CAGUCGUACCGGCGGAUAAUCAGCCUUUCGGGUGCGAUUCUGUGGGGCGUGAGGAGCUUAACCGCCUUCAUGUUUUGCAUAUUUGUGCUCUUGGGUGUACUUGUCUGUGUGGUAGGUUAACAUCAAUUUCGGUCGUCAUAAAAUGAUCGGAGGAAUGUAGCUUUGGUCUCGUAUCGAAGUGUUAUAGACUCUGGUAGAUGUGACGAUUGGGGAUUGAGGAUUGCAACGGAUACCCUUCGGGCUACCCGUCUGAUCUCUGAAGGUUGCUCCGGUGUCGAAGCGUGCUUACGGUCAUCG
RNAcentral lists this ribosomal RNA (297 nucleotides) under Rhizophagus intraradices. Lineage: Eukaryota; Fungi; Glomeromycota; Glomeromycetes; Glomerales; Glomeraceae. The record is from RNAcentral.